Molecule: ribosomal RNA, 573 nt
Filed under: uncultured rumen bacterium
Lineage: Bacteria
Description: bacterial SSU rRNA
Rfam family: Bacterial small subunit ribosomal RNA
Source: RNAcentral
GGCAGCAGCUAAGAAUAUUCCGCAAUGGUCGAAAGACUGACGGAGCGACGCCGCGUGAAUGAUGAAGGCCGUGAGGUUGUAAAGUUCUUUUCUGGAGGGAGAAUAAGUGUUGUAGGGAAUGACAACAUGAUGACGUGAAUCCAGGAAUAAGCCCCGGCUAACUACGUGCCAGCAGCCGCGGUAACACGUAGGGGGCAAGCGUUGUUCGGAAUUAUUGGGCGUAAAGGGUGCGCAGGCGGCUUGGCAAGUCUGCUGUUAAAUGGUUGAGCUCAACUCAAUCAUGCGGUGGAAACUAUCAAGCUAGAAUCAACGAAGGGAUACCGGAAUUCCAGGUGUAGGGGUGAAAUCUGUAGAUAUCUGGAAGAACACCGAUGGCGAAGGCAGGCAUCUGGCGACUGAUUGACGCUGAGGCACGAAGGUGCGGGGAGCAAACAGGUUUAGAUAUCCUGGUAGUCCGCACAGUAAACGAUGUGCACUAGGUGGCGGGUAGCAGUACUCGGUACCGAAGCAAACGCAUUAAGUGCACCGCCUGGGGAGUAUGCUCGCAAGGGUGAAACUCAAAGGAAUUGACGG